Molecule: ribosomal RNA, 492 nt
Filed under: uncultured bacterium
Lineage: Bacteria
Description: partial 16S ribosomal RNA
Rfam family: Bacterial small subunit ribosomal RNA
Source: RNAcentral
AGUGAACGCUGGCGGUAGGCCUAACACAUGCAAGUCGAACGGCAGCACAGUAAGAGCUUGCUCUUACGGGUGGCGAGUGGCGGACGGGUGAGGAAUACAUCGGAAUCUACUUUUUCGUGGGGGAUAACGUAGGGAAACUUACGCUAAUACCGCAUACGACCUACGGGUGAAAGCAGGGGAUCUUCGGACCUUGCGCGAUUGAAUGAGCCGAUGUCGGAUUAGCUAGUUGGCGGGGUAAAGGCCCACCAAGGCGAGGAUCCGUAGCUGGUCGGAGAGGAUGGUCAGCCACACUAGAACUGAGACACGGUCCAGACUCCUACGGGAGGGAGCAGUGGGCAAUAUGGGACAAUGGGCGCAAACCUGACCCAGCCAUACCGCGUGGGUGAAGAAGGCCUUCGGGUUGUAAAGCCCUUUUGUUGGGAAAGAAAAGCAGCAGGUUAAUACCCCGCUGUUCUGACGGUACCCAAAGAAUAAGCACCGGCUAACUUCGUG